Molecule: long non-coding RNA, 249 nt
Filed under: Brassica napus (rape)
Lineage: Eukaryota; Viridiplantae; Streptophyta; Magnoliopsida; Brassicales; Brassicaceae
Description: long non-coding RNA (BNAP_LNC001950)
Source: RNAcentral
UGAGAGGGGCCUGGCACGAUUCUACGACACGUAAACCAAUUAAAUUUAGACAGCGUUUAUAUAUUACAAACCCCUAAAAGUGUAAUGUUUGUGUUGAUGCGGACCAGUGGACUUGGUCCAAGGGAUAGUAUGUCCCUUUUUUUUUUUUUUUGGGAUAGUAUGUCCCUUGCUUCUUCUUUUUUCUUUGUUAUUACAUGAAACAUGGCAGGUCGUCUCUUUUAAUCGCAAGGUUAUUGCAUGUUGGUUUGU